UACGGGAGCAGCAGUGGGGAAUAUUGCACAAUGGGCGAAAGCCUGAUGCAGCUAUGCCGCGUGUAUGAAGAAGGCCUUAGGGUUGUAAAGUACUUUCAUCGGGGAGGAAAAAACAAAACUAAUAAUUUUAUUUCUUGACGUUACCCGAAAAAGAAGCACCGGCUAACUCCGUGCCAGCAGCCGCGGUAAUACGGAGGGUGCUAGCGUUAAUCAGAAUUACUGGGCGUAAAGAGCACGUAGGUGGUUUUUUUAAGUCAGAUGUGAAAUCCCUGGGCUUAACCUAGGAACUGCAUUUUGAAACUGAAAUACUAGAGUAUCGUAGAGGGAGGUAGAAUUCUAGGUGUAGCGGUGAAAUGCGUAGAUAUCUGGAGGAAUACCUGUGGCGAAAGCGGCCUCCUAAACGAAUACUGACACUGAGGUGCGAAAGCGUGGGGAGCAAACAGGGAUUAGAUACC
This 455-nucleotide ribosomal RNA is filed under the name uncultured bacterium. Its description in RNAcentral is "bacterial SSU rRNA". It matches the Rfam family "Bacterial small subunit ribosomal RNA", at positions 340 to 786 of the family's 1533-position model. The record is from RNAcentral.